RNAcentral lists this ribosomal RNA (494 nucleotides) under uncultured bacterium. RNAcentral's name for it is "partial 16S ribosomal RNA". It matches the Rfam family "Bacterial small subunit ribosomal RNA", at positions 30 to 507 of the family's 1533-position model. The record is from RNAcentral.
AUUGAACGCUGGCGGCAUGCUUUACACAUGCAAGUCGAACGGCAGCGGGGAGGAGCUUGCUUCUCUGCCGGCGAGUGGCGAACGGGUGAGUAAUACAUCGGAACGUGUCGAGAAGAGGGGGAUAACCACCCGAAAGGGUGGCUAAUACCGCAUAAAUUCUGAGGAAGAAAGCUGGGGACCUAGGAAUAGGCCUAGCGCUUUUUGAGCGGCCGCUGUCGGAUUAGCUAGUUGGUGAGGUAAAGGCUCACCAAGGCGAAGAUCUGUAGCGGGUCUGAGAGGAUGACCCGCCACACUGGGACUGAGACACGGCCCAGACUCCUACGGGAGGCAGCAGUGGGGAAUUUUGGACAAUGGGGGCAACCCUGAUCCAGCCAUGCCGCGUGUAUGAAGAAGGCCUUAGGGUUGUAAAGUACUUUUGUUAGGGAAGAAAAGUCAGCUGUGAAUAAUGGCUGAUACUGACGGUACCUAAAGAAUAAGCACCGGCUAACUACGUG